UACGUAGGGGGCGAGCGUUGUCCGGAUUUAUUGGGCGUAAAGAGCUCGUAGGCGGCUCGGUAAGUCGGAUGUGAAACCUCCAGGCUCAACCUGGAGACGCCAUCUGAUACUGCCGUGGCUAGAGUCCGGUAGGGGAGCGUGGAAUUCCUGGUGUAGCGGUGAAAUGCGCAGAUAUCAGGAAGAACACCCGUGGCGAAGGCGGCUCUCUGGGACGGUACUGACGCUGAGACGCGAAAGCGUGGGGAGCGAACAGG
RNAcentral lists this ribosomal RNA (254 nucleotides) under uncultured bacterium. Its description in RNAcentral is "partial 16S ribosomal RNA". It matches the Rfam family "Bacterial small subunit ribosomal RNA", at positions 524 to 776 of the family's 1533-position model. The record is from RNAcentral.